Molecule: ribosomal RNA, 1259 nt
Filed under: Ferorhinella brevis
Lineage: Eukaryota; Metazoa; Arthropoda; Insecta; Hemiptera; Cercopidae
Description: eukaryotic LSU rRNA
Rfam family: Eukaryotic large subunit ribosomal RNA
Source: RNAcentral
CCUGAAAAUGGAUGGCGCUGUAGCGUCGUGCCUAUACUCGGCCGUCAACGGCACAGGGGGCGGCACCUUCGCGGGUGCCGGGCCGUUAUGCCUUGACGAGUAGGAGGGUCGCGGCGGUGUGCGCAGAAGGGUCUGGGCGUGAGCCUGCCUGGAGCCGCCGUCGGCGCAGAUCUUGGUGGUAGUAGCAAAUACUCCAGCGAGGACCUGGAGGACUGACGUGGAGAAGGGUUUCUUGUGAACAGCUGUUGCACAAGAGUCAGUCGAUCCUAAGCCCUAGGAGAAAUCCUAUGUCGAUGGGAAGCCGUUGAAGAUAGAAGGCGCUUUGCGCUCUUGUAUUGGAAGGCGACCCACGGGGCGAAAGGGAAUCCGGUUCCUAUUCCGGAACCCGGCUGCGGAACCGUUCAUAAGCGGGCCCUCAUCCGAGAGCUCGACGGGGCAACCCGAAGAGACCCGGAGACGCCGGCGGGAGGUCCGGAGAGAGUUUUCUUUUCUCUAUAAGCGUUCGAGUUCCCUGGAAGCCUAUAGCAGGGAGAUAGGGUUUGGAACGCGAAGAGCACCGCAGUUGCGGCGGUGUCCGGAUCUUCCCCUCGGACCUUGAAAAUCCGGGAGAGGGCUACGCGGAAUGUCCGCGCCGGAUCGUACCCAUAUCCGCAGCAGGUCUCCAAGGUUAAGAGCCUCUAGUCGAUAGAAUAAUGUAGGUAAGGGAAGUCGGCAAACUAGAUCCGUAACUUCGGAAAAAGGAUUGGCUCUGAGGAUCGGGGCGUGUCGGGCUUGGUCGGGAAGCGGGUUUGUGCCAACGUGCCGGGCCUGGGCGAAGUGAACGGGGCUUGCCCCGGAAUCUGAGCUCGGUCCCGUGCCUUGGCCUCCCGCGGAUCUUCCUUGCUGCGAGGUGUUGGCUGUCUGUCGCGGGUAAACCACCUCACGGUGGCCCCGAAGGACGGGCCUCCUACCUCUUCGGCCGCCAUUCAACGAUCAACUCAGAACUGGCACGGACCGGGGGAAUCCGACUGUCUAAUUAAAACAAAGCAUUGCGAUGGCCCCAGAGGGUGCUGACGCAAUGUGAUUUCUGCCCAGUGCUCUGAAUGUCAACGUGAAGAAAUCAAGCAAGAAAGGGUAAGAGACGGGAGUACGUAUGACUCUCUUAAGGUACGCAAAUGCCUCUCAUCUAAUUCCAACGUUCAGGAAUGGAUUACCCAUCUACCAACUGUCCCUAUCUACUAUCUAGCGAAACCACUGCCAAGGGAACGGGCUGGAAAAAU